Molecule: ribosomal RNA, 229 nt
Filed under: uncultured bacterium
Lineage: Bacteria
Description: partial 16S ribosomal RNA
Rfam family: Bacterial small subunit ribosomal RNA
Source: RNAcentral
AGUGUAGGCGGCUACUUAAGUCGGAUGUGAACGCCCUGGGCUCAACCUGGGAAUUGCAUUCGAUACUGGGUAGCUAGAGUUUGGUAGAGGUAAGUGGAAUUCCGGGUGUAGCGGUGAAAUGCGUAGAUAUCCGGAGGAACAUCAGUGGCGAAGGCGGCUUACUGGACCAAAACUGACGCUGAGGCUCGAAAGCGUGGGGAGCAAACAGGAUUAGAUACCCUGGUAGUCC